This 27-nucleotide non-coding RNA is filed under the name Drosophila melanogaster (fruit fly). Lineage: Eukaryota; Metazoa; Arthropoda; Insecta; Diptera; Drosophilidae. RNAcentral also lists the same sequence under 5 other names. The record is from RNAcentral.
UUGGCUAAGAUCAAGUGUAGUAUCUGU